GACGAACGCUGGCGGCGUGCUUAACACAUGCAAGUCGAACGGAAAGGCCCUGCUUUUGUGGGGUGCUCGAGUGGCGAACGGGUGAGUAACACGUGAGUAACCUGCCCUUGACUUUGGGAUAACUUCAGGAAACUGGGGCUAAUACCGGAUAGGAGCUCCUGCUGCAGGGUGGGGGUUGGAAAGUUUCGGCGGUUGGGGAUGGACGCGCGGCUUAUCAGCUUGUUGGUGGGGUAGUGGCUUACCAAGGCAUUGACGGGUAGCCGGCCGGAGAGGGUGAACGGCCACCUUGGGACUGAGAUACGGCCCAGACUCCUACGGGAGGCAGCAGUGGGGAAUAUUGCACAAUGGGCGGAAGCCUGAUGCAGCAACGCCGCGUGCGGGAUGACGGCCUUCGGGUUGUAAACCGCUUUCGCCUGUGACGAAGCGUGAGUGACGGUAAUGGGUAAAGAAGCACCGGCUAACUACGUG
RNAcentral lists this ribosomal RNA (468 nucleotides) under uncultured bacterium. RNAcentral describes it as "partial 16S ribosomal RNA". It matches the Rfam family "Bacterial small subunit ribosomal RNA", at positions 28 to 507 of the family's 1533-position model. The record is from RNAcentral.